GACGAACGCUGGCGGCGUGCUUAACACAUGCAAGUCGAACGGAAAGGCCCUGCUUUUGUGGGGUGCUCGAGUGGCGAACGGGUGAGUAACACGUGAGUAACCUGCCCUUGACUUUGGGAUAACUUCAGGAAACUGGGGCUAAUACCGGAUAGGAGCUCCUGCUGCAUGGUGGGGGUUGGAAAGUUUCGGCGGUUGGGGAUGGACUCGCGGCUUAUCAGCUUGUUGGUGGGGUAGUGGCUUACCAAGGCUUUGACGGGUAGCCGGCCUGAGAGGGUGACCGGCCACCUUGGGCCUGAGAUACGGCGCAGACUCCUACGGGAGGCAGCAGUGGGGAAUAUUGCACAAUGGGCGGAAGCCUUAUGCAGCAACGCCGCGUGCGGGAUGACGGCCUUCGGGUUGUAAACCGCUUUCGCCUGUGACGAAGCGUGAGUGACGGUAAUGGGUAAAGAAGCACUGGCUAACUACGUG
This 468-nucleotide ribosomal RNA is filed under the name uncultured bacterium. RNAcentral describes it as "partial 16S ribosomal RNA". It matches the Rfam family "Bacterial small subunit ribosomal RNA", at positions 28 to 507 of the family's 1533-position model. The record is from RNAcentral.